Molecule: ribosomal RNA, 497 nt
Filed under: uncultured bacterium
Lineage: Bacteria
Description: partial 16S ribosomal RNA
Rfam family: Bacterial small subunit ribosomal RNA
Source: RNAcentral
GAUGAACGCUGGCGGCGUGCCUAAUACAUGCAAGUCGAGCGAACGGACGAGAAGCUUGCUUCUCUGAUGUUAGCGGCGGACGGGUGAGUAGCACGUGGAUAACCUACCUAUAAGACUGGGAUAACUUCGGGAAACCGUAGCUAAUACCGGAUAAUAUUUUGAACCGCAUGGUUCAAAAGUGAAAGACGGUCUUGCUGUCACUUAUAGAUGGAUCCGCGCUGCAUUAGCUAGUUGGUAAGGUAACGGCUUACCAAGGCAACGAUGCAUAGCCGACCUGAGAGGGUGAUCGGCCACACUGGAACUGAGACACGGUCCAAACGCCUACGGGAGGCAGCAGUAGGGAGUCUUCCGCAAUGGGCGAAAGCCUGACGGAGCAACGCCGCGUGAGUGAUGAAGGUCUUCGGAUCGUAAAACUCUGUUAUUAGGGAAGAACAUAUGUGUAAGUAACUGUGCACCUCUUGACGGUACCUAAUCAGAGAGCCACGGCUAGCUACGUG